RNAcentral lists this long non-coding RNA (740 nucleotides) under Equus caballus (horse). RNAcentral describes it as "lncRNA (ENSECAG00000056207.1)". The record is from RNAcentral. Lineage: Eukaryota; Metazoa; Chordata; Mammalia; Perissodactyla; Equidae.
CACUUAGCUGUGUUCCUGACAGGAACAAUAGGACUAAACAAAGUGGGGUGGGUGGAGGAAAGAGCAUUAUUUAACAGUAAAAUUCUCCUGACUUAUAGAUCAGUUGAGUGUAAGGCGUUUCCCCCUCUUCCUAGCCCUUGGAUAGGGUGAUCUUCCCAAAGAAAGGCAGAUCAAGUCAUUCAACAGUAUAAAAACCUUCCAUGGUUUCCAGCAGGAUAAACCUAAGCUAUUUAGCUCAACCUCAGCUUUCACGAGGCACCUCUGUGCUUGGUCGGCUGAGCUACUGCCAGUUGCUCCAGUGCCCCAAGGUGUGAGCCUCUGAGCUUCCACAGAAACUGUGCUCUCUUCCUGGAUUGCUCUCUUCCUCUUAAAGAAGACACACUCUUCUUCUGAAGCUUGGCUCAAGAAUCUCCUCCAUUAUAAAGCAGUCCUAGCCUCCCCAGUGGCAACCCUGAAUGCACCUAGUGAGAUGGCCACAAGAAGGAAGCAGACUGGAUCCCUGAGUGACCUUGGAAGGGACUACCCCAACAAGAAGAGGACGCCCAGAGACACACAGAGAAUGCCAUGUGAAGACGGAAGCAGAGUUUGGAGUGAUGUCUACACACCAAGGAACACCCGGAAUUGCCGGCAGCCAUUCCCAGAAGCUCCCUCAGAGGCACUGGAAGGAACCAACCUUCCCAAAAACUUGAUUUUGAACUUCUGGCCUCCUGAACCAUGAGUAUAAAUUUCUGUUAUUUAAA